GACGAACGCUGGCGGCGUGCUUAACACAUACAAGUCGAACGGAAAGGCCCUGCUUGCAGAGUGCUCGAGUGGCGAACGGGUGAGUAACACGUGGGUGAUCUGCCCUGCACUUUGGGAUAAGCCUGGGAAACUGGGUCUAAUACCGAAUACCUACCAUGAUUUAGUGUUUGUGGUGGAAAGCCUUGUGCGGUGUGGGAUGAGCCCGCGGCCUAUCAGCUUGUUGGUGGGGUAAUGGCCUACCAAGGCGUCGACGGGUAGCCGGACUGAGAGGUCGAUCGGCCACAUUGGGACUGAGACACGGCCCAG
Molecule: ribosomal RNA, 306 nt
Filed under: uncultured bacterium
Lineage: Bacteria
Description: bacterial SSU rRNA
Rfam family: Bacterial small subunit ribosomal RNA
Source: RNAcentral